UACAGAGGGUGCAAGCGUUGCUCGGAAUCAUUGGGCGUAAAGGGCAAGUAGGUGGUCUCAUUUGUCUGAUGUGAAAGCCUUGGGCUUAACCCAAGAAGUGCGUCAGAAACGGUGAGACUCGAGUUCCGGAGAGGUGGGUAGAAUUCCCGGUGUAGCGGUGAAAUGCGUAGAGAUCGGGAGGAAUACCAGAGGCGAAGGCGGCCCACUGGACGGAUACUGACACUCAACUGCGAAAGCGUGGGGAGCAAACAGG
Molecule: ribosomal RNA, 253 nt
Filed under: uncultured bacterium
Lineage: Bacteria
Description: partial 16S ribosomal RNA
Rfam family: Bacterial small subunit ribosomal RNA
Source: RNAcentral